Molecule: transfer RNA, 94 nt
Filed under: Trametes cinnabarina
Lineage: Eukaryota; Fungi; Basidiomycota; Agaricomycetes; Polyporales; Polyporaceae
Description: Pycnoporus cinnabarinus tRNA
Rfam family: tRNA
About the family: Transfer RNA (tRNA) molecules are approximately 80 nucleotides in length. Their secondary structure includes four short double-helical elements and three loops (D, anti-codon, and T loops).
Source: Rfam by way of RNAcentral
GGCGAUAUGGCCGAGCGGUCCAAGGCGCCAGAAUCAGGAGAAAGGUUGUUUCAUCUGGUCCGAAAGGGCGUGGGUUCGAAUCCCGCUGUCGUCA